This 73-nucleotide transfer RNA is filed under the name Vallitaleaceae bacterium. It matches the Rfam family "tRNA". Rfam says of the family: Transfer RNA (tRNA) molecules are approximately 80 nucleotides in length. Their secondary structure includes four short double-helical elements and three loops (D, anti-codon, and T loops). Further hydrogen bonds mediate the characteristic L-shaped molecular structure. tRNAs have two regions of fundamental functional importance: the anti-codon, which is responsible for specific mRNA codon recognition, and the 3' end, to which the tRNAs corresponding amino acid is attached (by aminoacyl-tRNA synthetases). tRNAs cope with the degeneracy of the genetic code in two manners: having more than one tRNA (with a specific anti-codon) for a particular amino acid; and 'wobble' base-pairing, i.e. permitting non-standard base-pairing at the 3rd anti-codon position. The record is from Rfam by way of RNAcentral. Lineage: Bacteria; Bacillati; Bacillota; Clostridia; Lachnospirales; Vallitaleaceae.
GGGUGUAUAUCUCAGUUGGUAGAGUCCUCGCUCGACAUGCGAGUUGUCGCUGGUUCGAGUCCAGUUGCGCCCA